AUGGCAGUCACCACUACUACCACAGCCAUGAAAAUGCGACUGCUCAUCGCCAUGGUGGCAGCAAACAAGCAAGUCUCACAAUCCCACUCAUUAUUAAGCUUUUUUGGGGAAAGCGUCAGUGAGAUUUCACAGCACUCACAUAAUUCCACCAGGACUCCCCUCUCAGUAACGUCUUACUCAUCAGAGGCUGCAAGCAAAGUGUGCCAUGAUCCCUGUCCCUACCUACCUGUUAGUUGCCCUCACUUCACAAGUGUCCGUGGUCCCACAGUCUCUCACUGGACAUGCAGAGGAGACUACGUGGAAAUGAAGAAUUCAGAAGGUGCUCUUCACCACCUAAUACCAGGACAAGAAAGCAGAGGUGCGGUGACUGUGUGCCACAUGAGAAGAAGGAUAGGCUCAGCACCUUUGAGACAUCCCCUGGUACCAGGAAAAAGAAAUCCGCCUGUUCCACAGUCCCUCUUGCAGGAGAAGCCACGAGAAGCGAUACCAGGGCAGCUUAGCUUCAGAGACAUUACUGUACAAACAUUUGCUUGUGAAGGGGCAGAAUCUCAUGUUCAGAGGUCAUUCAUUUCUAAGCCGAAGAAUAAUUUAAGUGAGAAGGCUUGCUCAACAUGUGGAGAGAAAAAGGAAAAGCUGACAAAGAAAUGGAAGAACAAGUAA
RNAcentral lists this long non-coding RNA (660 nucleotides) under Anser brachyrhynchus (Pink-footed goose). RNAcentral's name for it is "lncRNA (ENSABRG00000014777.1)". Lineage: Eukaryota; Metazoa; Chordata; Aves; Anseriformes; Anatidae. The record is from RNAcentral.